RNAcentral lists this ribosomal RNA (459 nucleotides) under uncultured bacterium. RNAcentral's name for it is "partial 16S ribosomal RNA". It matches the Rfam family "Bacterial small subunit ribosomal RNA", at positions 338 to 795 of the family's 1533-position model. The record is from RNAcentral.
CCUACGGGAGGCAGCAGUGAGGAAUAUUGGUCAAUGGUCGGGAGACUGAACCAGCCAAGCCGCGUGAGGGAUGAAGGUACAGAGUAUCGUACACCUCUUUUGUCAGGGAACACAGGCGGGGACGUGUCCCCGGAUGAGUGUACCUGAAGAAAAAGCAUCGGCUAACUCCGUGCCAGCAGCCGCGGUACUACGGAGGAUGCGAGCAUUCUCCGGUUUUGUUGGGUGUAAAGGGUGCGCAGGCGGUUUGUUAAGUCAGCGGUCAAAGCCCGGGGCCCCACCCCGGCCCGCCGUUGAAACUGGCAGUCUCGAGUUGGAGAGAAGUAUGCGGAAUGCGCGGUGUAGCGGUGAAAUGCAUAGAUAUCGCGCAGAACUCCGAUUGCGAAGGCAGCAUGCCGGCUCCACACUGACGCUGAGGCACGAAAGCGUGGGUAUCGAACAGGAUUAGAUACCCCAGUAGUC